This 842-nucleotide long non-coding RNA is filed under the name Homo sapiens (human). RNAcentral's name for it is "PREDICTED lncRNA (TCONS_00242496)". The record is from RNAcentral. Lineage: Eukaryota; Metazoa; Chordata; Mammalia; Primates; Hominidae.
CCCGCCGGUAGCCAUCUUCGUGCAUAGGCAAACUUAUUGUAGCUAGACUGUACAAAGUAUAUCAAGAUAUGCCAAAUAUUGAGCUUAACUUCACCUGUUUGAGAGACGGUGUUUCUUUUAGCUUGCAACACCAUGAAAAAAUUACUGAGACACUAGGAAUGCUGUGAACUGAGAAAGUUUGGGACCUUUGGCAUAACUAAAUCCUUCAUUUAACAGUGUUGUGAACCACUUGUCAUGGGAUAACCAAAAUUAAACCUGGAAUCGCAGAAGAAACAAAUUUUUUGAAGAAAUUGGAUGUACUUUUUUAAAAUUUUUCAUUCAACUAAAACUUUGUUAACUGUUUCUUGGUUGUGGUCUUCUCUAAAUUGUAAUCUUUGGCAUUCACUUCCAAAGUAUCCACCACUAAACUUCAUAACAUUUAUUGUGUCUCUUCAUCAUUAAACUUUGAUGAAUUUACAGAGUGUCUUUUGAAAUUAUGUUCUUGAGAAAGCCAGGGGAUUGGACGGUGUCAUGGAAAUGUCAAAGAAAAAGUGACACCUGAGAGAAAAUUUGAAAGAUGAAAGUGCUGUUAAUACGGAAACUGGUCUAAUAUGGAAAACAGGUGAACAUGGAGCUGCUUUGUUUGACUCAGGGAUGAGAGAUACCCAGGUCCUAAUUACUUGUCUUUAACUUUCCUUAGGGAGUACUAAUUUGGGAGUCAUUGUUCUAAACAAUUAAAGUGAAGUAACUGUCCUGUUUUUCUCUUUUACCCUUGUGAACGAGGAAGCUCAGGGUUAAAGUCUAUGUCUUUACUUAUACAUUUCUGUGUUGUAGGAUCUUUUAAUAAAGAUUUUCUCCUUUUA